GACGUAGGGUGCGAGCGUUGCCCGGAUUUAUUGGGCGUAAAGGGCGCGUAGGCGGCCACGCACGUCCGUUGUGAAAUCGCUCGGCUCAACUGGGAGGGGUCGUGCGAUACGGGCGGGCUCGAGGCAGGUAGGGGGAAGCGGAAUUCCCGGUGUAGUGGUGGAAUGCGUAGAUAUCAGGAGGAACACCAAUUGCGAAGGCAGCUCGCUGGGACGUUACUGACGCUGAGACGCGAAAGCGUGGGGAGCAAACAGG
This 253-nucleotide ribosomal RNA is filed under the name uncultured bacterium. Its description in RNAcentral is "partial 16S ribosomal RNA". It matches the Rfam family "Bacterial small subunit ribosomal RNA", at positions 524 to 776 of the family's 1533-position model. The record is from RNAcentral.